AGAGUUUGAUCCUGGCUCAGGAUGAACGCUGGCGGCGUGCCUAACACAUGCAAGUCGAACGGAGCUGCUUUGAUGAAGUUUUCGGAUGGAUUUAAAACAGCUUAGUGGCGGACGGGUGAGUAACGCGUGGGUAACCUGCCUCACACUGGGGGAUAACAGUUAGAAAUAGCUGCUAAUACCGCAUAAGCGCACGGUUCCGCAUGGAACAGUGUGAAAAACUCCGGUGGUGUGAGAUGGACCCGCGUCUGAUUAGCCAGUUGGCGGGGUAACGGCCCACCAAAGCGACGAUCAGUAGCCGGCCUGAGAGGGUGAACGGCCACAUUGGGACUGAGACACGGCCCAAACUCCUACGGGAGGCAGCAGUGGGGAAUAUUGCACAAUGGGGGAAACCCUGAUGCAGCGACGCCGCGUGAGUGAAGAAGUAUUUCGGUAUGUAAAGCUCUAUCAGCAGGGAAGAGAGUGACGGUACCUGAAUAAGAAGCCCCGGCUAACUACGUGCCAGCAGCCGCGGUAAUACGUAGGGGGCAAGCGUUAUCCGGAUUUACUGGGUGUAAAGGGAGCGUAGACGGCAAGGCAAGUCUGAAGUGAAAGCCCGGUGCUUAACGCCGGGACUGCUUUGGAAACUGUUUAGCUGGAGUGCCGGAGAGGUAAGCGGAAUUCCUAGUGUAGCGGUGAAAUGCGUAGAUAUUAGGAAGAACACCAGUGGCGAAGGCGGCUUACUGGACGGUAACUGACGUUGAGGCUCGAAAGCGUGGGGAGCAAACAGGAUUAGAUACCCUGGUAGUCCACGCCGUAAACGAUGAUUGCUAGGUGUAGGUGGGUAUGGACCCCAUCGGUGGCCCAGCUAACGCAAUAAG
Molecule: ribosomal RNA, 857 nt
Filed under: uncultured bacterium
Lineage: Bacteria
Description: bacterial SSU rRNA
Rfam family: Bacterial small subunit ribosomal RNA
Source: RNAcentral